Molecule: unclassified non-coding RNA, 1349 nt
Filed under: uncultured Neocallimastigales
Lineage: Eukaryota; Fungi; Neocallimastigomycota; Neocallimastigomycetes; Neocallimastigales
Description: partial contains internal transcribed spacer 1, 5.8S ribosomal RNA, internal transcribed spacer 2, and large subunit ribosomal RNA
Rfam family: Eukaryotic large subunit ribosomal RNA (bases 593-1349)
Source: RNAcentral
AAAAUAAUCCUACCCUUUGUGAAUUUUGUUUGUUUGAAUAAUUUUUUUUUUUAAAAAUUAUUGGAGUCUUUCCUUUAGAGUUUGCUUUUGAGUUUGUAAAAGAAUUCGAAAACAUCUAAAGGGGAUGGUCAAUAAUUUUUUUUGAAAAAAGACAUUUUUUAAAAUUAAACUUUUUGUAUUCCUUUGUCUAAAAAUUAUUUUUAUAAUAUAAAAACAACUUUUGACAAUGGAUCUCUUGGUUCUCGCAACGAUGAAGAACGCAGCAAAAUGCGAUAAGUAGUGUGAAUUGCAGAAUGCGUGAAUCAUCGAAUCUUUGAACGCAUAUUGCACUUUUUUAGUUUACUAAAAAGUAUGUCUGUUUGAGUAUCAGUAAAAUAUUCUCAUAAAAAUCAUUGUGUAUUUUUAUGGUUAUGAGUGUUUUACAACGAUACAAGUUGUUUCACUUUAAAUUUUUUUUAAUAUUGAAAUUUUUCUAAUUUUAAUAAUUAAAAUUGGAUAAAAUUUUCCCGUCAAAAGGAAUAGCCUAAACAAUUUUAAAUGAUUAAUUUUAGCAAAAUUUUCGAAAAAAAGGAAAAUUUUUAUUAAAAUAACUUGAUCUCAAAUCAGAUAAGAGUACCCGCUGAACUUAAGCAUAUCAAUAAGCGGAGGAAAAGAAACUAACAAGGAUUCCCUUAGUAACGGCGAGUGAAGCGGGAAGAGCUCAAAUUUGAAAUCUUCAAGGUUUUACCUUGACGAAUUGUAGUUUAAAGAAGUGUUUUCUGCUGAAGUUUUGGUAAAAGUUCUUGGAAUAGGACAUCAUAGAGGGUGAGAAUCCCGUAUUUGACCAUUAUUUUCAGCUUUGUGAUACACUUUCAAAGAGUCGGAUUGUUUGGGAAUGCAGUCCAAAAUGGGUGGUAAAUUUCAUCUAAAGCUAAAUAUUGGCGAGAGACCGAUAGCGAACAAGUACCGUGAGGGAAAGAUGAAAAGAACUUUGAAAAGAGAGUUAAACAGUACGUGAAAUUGUCAAAAGGGAAGCGUUUGACACCAGUGUUGUUUUCUCGAAAAUCAAUUAAAAAUGGCUCGAUUUUGUAUUGCUGAGACCUUAAAAGCUCACCGUACAUUUUUCGUGUCUUUUUUAAUGCACUUUUCAUUUAACAAGUCAACAUCAGUUUCUUUUGUUGUAAAAGGGUCAUUGGAAGGUGGCUUUCUUUUCGGAGAAAGUGUUUAUAGCCUUUGGCCUCUGCAAUCGGAGAGACUGAGGUCUGCAGCGUAGACUCUUCGGGGUUAGAUACAUUUGUGCUAAGUUAUAGCUUUUUAUAGACAACUUGUUGACUAUAAUUAGUCUUGUAGCUUACUCGCUUAUGCUAUUU